AGAGUUUGAUCAUGGCUCAGAAUCAACGCUGGCGGCGUGCCUAACACAUGCAAGUCGAACGCGAAAGUGGAGCAAUCCAUGAGUAGAGUGGCAAACGGGUGAGUAACACGUGGGUGACCUGCCUUCGAGUGGGGGAUAACGUCCCGAAAGGGACGCUAAUACCGCAUGACAUCCUGCCUUUUAAGAGGUGGAGAUCAAAGCCGGGGAUCGCAAGACCUGGCGCUUGAAGAGGGGCCCGCGCCUGAUUAGCUAGUUGGUGGGGUAAUGGCCUACCAAGGCAACGAUCAGUAUCCGGCCUGAGAGGGCGGACGGACACACUGGGACUGAGACACGGCCCAGACUCCUACGGGAGGCAGCAGUGGGGAAUUGUUCGCAAUGGGCGCAAGCCUGACGACGCAACGCCGCGUGGAGGAUGAAGAUCUUCGGGUCGUAAACUCCUUUCGAUCGAGACGAAUGGUUUCCGGGUGAACAAUCCGGGAAAAUGACGGUACCGAGAGAAGAAGCCCCGGCUAACUCCGUGCCAGCAGCCGCGGUAAUACGGGGGGGGCAAGCGUUGUUCGGAAUUACUGGGCGUAAAGGGCUUGUAGGUGGCCAACUAAGUCAGACGUGAAAUCCCUCAGCUUAACUGGGGAACUGCUUCUGAUACUGGAUGGCUUGAGUUUGGGAGAGGGAUGCGGAAUUCCAGGUGUAGCGGUGAAAUGCGUAGAUAUCUGGAGGAACACCGGUGGCGAAGGCGGCAUCCUGGACCAACACUGACACUGAAAAGCGAAAGCCAGGGGAGCAAACGGGAUUAGAUACCCCCGUAGUCC
Molecule: ribosomal RNA, 809 nt
Filed under: uncultured bacterium
Lineage: Bacteria
Description: bacterial SSU rRNA
Rfam family: Bacterial small subunit ribosomal RNA
Source: RNAcentral